UGAUUCGAUUAUGAGUAUAAUCGAUUAAUCGUACCUGUUUUGCCAUCCCUAAUUUGAACCCUAAGAUGACUAUUAAACGACAAAUGAUUUCUUCGCUCGUUUUCUUUUCUUGAAAAUAGUUCGAUUUAAUUUCAUAAUUAGCAUUCUAUUUGAAUCUUGAAGGAGCAAAACAAUUCCCCAACGAACAUAUACAUCUGUAUCUGCGAUGAUGACAUAGUUGCGGCGAAGUGAUGGCCCCUCAAAGCAGAAGACAGCUCUCACUGCUCCUCAUCCUCCUCUUCCUCCUCCUCUCUCUCUCCUCUCUCUUCCUCUCCCCCUCCGCUCCCAACCCCCAAAUCCACUCGCCACUCCACUCACUCCCAACCCCAUCCCCUCCCCCCAACUUCACCUUUCUCAUCAAAGUCCUCACCUUCAACCGCCUCUCCUCUCUCUCCCGCUGCCUCAACUCUCUUGCCAAUGCCCACUACGAUGCCGCCGACAAAGUUCAUCUCCACAUCUACAUCGACCAUUUCCCUCUAGAUUCUGCCGAUUCCGACCAAAGAUUGAAUCUUUCCAAGCAGAUUCUUGAUUUCGUCGAUGGAUUCGAUUGGAGAUUCGGAGAGAAGCUGGUGCAUUACCGGACUUCCAAUGCCGGGCUGCAGGCGCAGUGGCUCGAAGCAUGGUGGCCUUCUUCUGAUCAUGAGUUUGCUUUCGUUGUUGAGGAUGAUCUCGAGGUUUCGCCCCUUUAUUACAGGUUUCUGAAGGCGGUGAUCUUGAAUUAUUACUAUAAUGCUACCAAUUUCAGUCCUUCCAUUUACGGGGCGUCGCUGCAGCGGCCGAGGUUUGUGCCAGGUAAACAUGGAAAUAAAAUGCAAUUAGAUGGUGAAUCUCAGAUUUUCUUGUAUCAGCUGGUUGGAACCUGGGGCCAACUUCUGUUCCCGAGACCUUGGAAAGAGUUCCGUCUGUGGUACAACAUGCAUAAGUCCAAAGGAGUGAAGCCUUUCCUAGACGGAAUGGUAACAAAUGGGUGGUACAAGAAGCUGGGAGAGAAAAUCUGGACUCCAUGGUUUAUCAAAUUUAUCCACUCUCGUGGGUACUUUAACAUUUAUACCAAUUUUCAUCACGAGCGAGCAUUGAGCGUUUCUCAUAGGGAUGCAGGGGUCAAUUACGGCAAAACAGCAGGACCCGAUUCUUACUUACUGGGUGAAAAUUCAGUCAAUUUCAACUUACUGGAAAUGUAUCCUUUGAUGGAUAUCAAGUGGUAUGAUUUCUGCUUCAGACAAGUAGUGACCAACAGAAUCGUUACGAGUUCAAACGAACUUGUUAAUGUUCUUCAAUCUGUGCAGCACAAAAAAUUUGUUUUGCUAGUGAGGUUGUAUGGAGUACCUGAAACGGUUGUCAGGAAUAUGCUCUGCCACUUUGAGGGGCUGAAUAUUCGAAAUUACAUCUUGGUUGGCCCAACAUCUGAUUUCCUAAUUGAUCUUGCAAGAAGGGGGCACCCCGUGCUUGAUGCCAGCAGCUUUUCUGAUUUCAGCAAACUUUCCAAGUCCAUCAAUUUUCAAGAUUCGACUAUGGAACUGUUCAAAGAAAUUCUAGUGGUGGCAUCUGUGACUAGAAAGAAUUUGGAGCUUGGCUAUAACACCUGGGUGCUUGAUGGAAACAUGCUUCCACGUAAUAAUGAAUCAUUUUUGGAUACAUUUGACCGCGGAAAUGAUUUGUAUGUCGGGAAGGCUAGUAGGCUUCUCUUUGUCCGGAGCUCAUCAUCUACUUUGAAGAUUUGGGCUGGUGAUUUCCCUUUCAAGAUUGCUUCAUCGGUGGAGACUUUGGGAAAACCAUCAGUUUCUACGCCCAUUUUUUUCUAUGCUGUUGAGAAUUUACUGAAAAAGCAGAGUGUCGAAUUUAAGAACAUUGAUGAGAUGCACCUUGGCUUGGAUUUUGGUGCUCUUCAAGCUAACUCAUCCUCAUUUGAUAGGGAUAAUAAAUUUAUUAUCUGGUCUUCGGAGACAGAGUUGGAUUUAUUACAGAAGCAACUUGCACAUAUAGAUUUGUGGUUUUUGGAUGGCGAUUCAUCAUGUUCUUCAGUUGUUUGCCAUCCAUUGUAGCAUUUGCUUAUGGUAAAGGAGUAAAUAUAGAAGAUAUUCGUUGAAAAGGGAGCUGAUUUCUGAACGCUUUUGCUCGGACCAACAAUGUGAUGAUGUUGAAAGUAGUUCAGAGUGAUUGAGGUCGUUUACAUUUAAGGCAAGAGCAUCUUACAUAAUCUUGAGGAGGUUAUACGACACAAAAAUCUUAAGCAACAACACCACUUCUAAUGAGGAAUCUUCCUCUUCCUAUGAGGCCCCUUAUGUUUGGAAGUAGAUUCAGGAGCAGUUCCUCAUGCCUUUUGGCUUUGCAUUAAGCUACUGGAGAGAGCAAAAGUAAGCCUGCCUACCUCAUAAUCUCUCACUGCAAGCUGGCCACUAGGCUAAACACCUGGCUAAGCUAAACUCAAUCAAUUGAAGGACAAAAAGGUACAUUGGAUUUUAUUGAAUAGGAUCUAAUUCCUUGUUAUUAAUUGGCUGAGAAACGAUAGGCAAAACUCCUCAAUAAUUCAGGCUGAUUACUACAAUAGUUGCUGGAACAUUAUGUAGCAGGAUUGAAUAUUACUCCAAAGGAUUAGUUUUGUCUUCGUCGGACUCUUUUACUUCUGAUCUAUACUUGUACCAUGAUGCCCAGUAGAGAUAGUUUACAAAAUUCAGGGUGCUAAGGAUGGCUAGAAACCAGUAGAAGUAGUCGAGCUUGUAAUGAUUCAAGGGUGGCUCGAGCUCCGGUGCCUGCAGCCAACCUUGUUUGUCUCCUGAAACCUUCUCUGUGACGGCAUUCACGAUGUUCACAAAGGCAGUGCUCAAGAAAUAGCCGAAAGACAGUGACAGCAGCGCGAAAGAUGUGGAAAGAGACCUCAUUCCGGAUGGAGCUUCGCUGUAGAAGAAUUCCAUCAGUCCGACCAUUGCAAACAUGUCUGCAAUCCCAAAGACUCCAUAUUGGAACGAGAGCCAGAAAAGACUAAUCGGCUUGAACGGGUCCUUGAGAGCCUGAUCUUUUCUUUUCACCUCGACCACAGCGGCUAUCCCCAUUGAGAUUAUAGACAGGACCAGCCCGACGCCUACACGCUGGAGCUGAGUUAUUCCAUUAGGAUGACCUGUGAUCUUUCGGGCAAACGGGAUGAAGAGGAACUCGUAGAGUGGAAGGAGAAUGACCAUGAAGAGUAAAGGGAUUACGGGUAUUGAAGGAGUGGGAAUGUUCAGUGUGGCCAAGUGAGGUUCCAUGAAGUAUCCUUGGACUACUGAGAAAGUCUGGAGCUGUGCCAAGCACGUAUUCAUUAUAAUCGUGCUGGCAAAGAUCGGUAGCAUCCUUAUCAAUAUCUUCACUUCUUCUACUUGUGUCACCGUGCAGCCUCUAUCUGGUUGGCUGGGAAUAGCAGCUUUGUCUAGGAACCUAGUUUCAAACGACCCGAUAUUAGCUCAAAGAGCAUGAGAUUUAAUGUCAACGAUGGAUACGUUUUAGCAGUAUACCUGAACUGGUUGGUGUGUGCAAGUUCCUCUGCAGAAGUAUCUUUCUCUUUAUCAUCAGCCUCAUACAGCUCGACCGAGCUCUCAGGAAAUUUCAGGUAGAUGAUGGUGAAGUGAAACACAGACCUGUGAUACCCUGACAAUGGGGCUGUUGGCCAGUGGUUGGAACAAGUAGAAUCGCUUUCCGAGUGCAAGCACGAAGAAGCCAACGAACGCUGUAGCCAAGCCCGUGAAGAAAGCCCAGUGCCAUCCCCUGUUCAACGCAAUCCACACGACUGCCGUCACUCCUAUCAACGAUCCAACCGUUGUGCUGAACUGGUAAAAGUUGAAGUAGCUCGCAACGCCCUUCGCUCCUUCGGUGUCGGUCCGGUCAAAUUGAUCCGCCCCGAGUGCAGCCACGGAUCCCUUGACUCCACCACAGCCCAAAGCUAAGAUGCAUAGGGAAGCAUAGAACAUGGCAGCGUCAGUGCCCCCGAUGCAGCUCGGCUUGUUGCAAGGGACGAUCUGCGAUUUCCUGGAGUGUGCUUGGAUUGUCAACAUCAGUAGACCCUGUGAGAAAACAGAAGCUCUGAGCACAAGUUGGUCGAAGAAAUGAAGGGAAAUGAGAAAGGGGUUUACCGUAAUUUCGAGAAAUCCGAAAAUGAGGCAGGUAUGCAGCCGGCUCAAGUACGUGUCGGAGAUGAAGCCUCCAAGAACGGUGAGCAAGAACGUCGAGCCUAGGAAGUUGGUGAGCGUGUUUGCCGCCGACGAGAGGUCGAAAAACAGGUGGAAGUAGAGAACCAUGCUCGACAUGUUUGCUACAAAUCCGAUGUUCUCCAACAUUGCCAACACUGAAACAGAAAAAAUGGAAACAAGAAUCACAUUCUCGCAAUCUUUCUACUUGGAUCUAUUGUUUGAGUUGCGCGAAGGGAUCGGUGAGAAUUGAACCCAAGACUUCUAACUUACCGAAAACGAACAUGCAUGCCCUGAAUCCACCCUGUCUUUCAGGAUCAUCAUACCUCAUUUUUUUCCUGAUUUAUUAGAAUCGUAUGAACUUGUUGAACGUGAAUUCCAUAAUCUAAGUUGAUUUAUACA
RNA transcript from Salvia miltiorrhiza (redroot sage), 4598 nucleotides. RefSeq lists it as uncharacterized. The record is from RefSeq and is a predicted model, not a curated record. Lineage: Eukaryota; Viridiplantae; Streptophyta; Magnoliopsida; Lamiales; Lamiaceae. The transcript is spliced from 6 exons.